This 133-nucleotide small nucleolar RNA is filed under the name Dasypus novemcinctus (nine-banded armadillo). RNAcentral describes it as "Small nucleolar RNA SNORA70 (ENSDNOG00000045898.1)". It matches the Rfam family "Small nucleolar RNA SNORA70". Rfam says of the family: snoRNA U70 seems to be exclusive to mammals and is a member of the H/ACA class of snoRNA which contain H (ANANNA) and ACA box motifs. H/ACA box snoRNAs are involved in the conversion of uridines to pseudouridines (5-ribosyluracil) a constituent of structural RNAs (transfer, ribosomal, small nuclear, and small nucleolar). Lineage: Eukaryota; Metazoa; Chordata; Mammalia; Cingulata; Dasypodidae. The record is from RNAcentral.
AUAAAAACAAAAAACUGACCACUCUCUUUUUCCUAUGGGGGUCUAUGUGAAAUGAUUACAGACAGCAGACACUUUGGUAGUGUACACAGUCUCUUGCUGGUAUGGGUUGCCCUAAGGGACCUUGGAGAGUUUU